Non-coding RNA from Misgurnus anguillicaudatus (oriental weatherfish), 440 nucleotides. NCBI's taxonomy places the organism in Eukaryota, Metazoa, Chordata, Actinopteri, Cypriniformes, Cobitidae. The record is from RefSeq and is a predicted model, not a curated record.
UUGGAAUGACGUUGAUAUUAGGAAAACUUUAGCAUGUUCACUCGUGGAUAAUGGUUUAGCCCUAGCUGUGCAUUAUUAAGUUUACAUGUUGGCAAUUUUGGUGUAGUGUAUCUGCCAUCUUCUUUAUAAUGAAAAUUAAUCUUUGGCAAUUUACUCAUUGUUUGACUCGGUUCAGACUCACGGUCACACUGCAAGAUGCCAUGUGACCUAAUCAGUGACUAAAUGAAUGCAGGUGUCAGUCAGUGACUAAAUGAAUGCAGGUGUCAGUCAAAGCGACUGUGUGGUUGGUAAAGACAAUCUUCUCGUCUGUUAUUUUGAGCGGCUGUUAACAGGGUGAUUUAACCAGAGGUGCUGUGUUCAACCUGGCAACAGAUCGGGCAACGAGGAGACGUGUAAUGGGAGAAAUGAUUAAAUAAUAAAAAAACAUUUUUGUUGAACAA